RNAcentral lists this ribosomal RNA (1303 nucleotides) under Shewanella sp. G5. RNAcentral's name for it is "bacterial SSU rRNA". It matches the Rfam family "Bacterial small subunit ribosomal RNA", at positions 77 to 1360 of the family's 1533-position model. Lineage: Bacteria; Pseudomonadati; Pseudomonadota; Gammaproteobacteria; Alteromonadales; Shewanellaceae. The record is from RNAcentral.
AGCUUGCUAUCUUUGCCGGCGAGCGGCGGACGGGUGAGUAAUGCCUAGGGAUCUGCCCAGUCGAGGGGGAUAACAGUUGGAAACGACUGCUAAUACCGCAUACGCCCUACGGGGGAAAGGAGGGGACCUUCGGGCCUUCCGCGAUUGGAUGAACCUAGGUGGGAUUAGCUAGUUGGUGAGGUAAUGGCUCACCAAGGCGACGAUCCCUAGCUGUUCUGAGAGGAUGAUCAGCCACACUGGGACUGAGACACGGCCCAGACUCCUACGGGAGGCAGCAGUGGGGAAUAUUGCACAAUGGGGGAAACCCUGAUGCAGCCAUGCCGCGUGUGUGAAGAAGCCUUCGGGUUGUAAAGCACUUUCAGUAGGGAGGAAAGGUAACAGUUUAAUACGCUGUUGCUGUGACGUUACCUACAGAAGAAGGACCGGCUAACUCCGUGCCAGCAGCCGCCGGUAAUACGGAGGGUCCGAGCGUUAAUCGGAAUUACUGGGCGUAAAGCGUGCGCAGGCGGUUUGUUAAGCGAGAUGUGAAAGCCCCGGGCUCAACCUGGGAAUUGCAUUUCGAACUGGCGAACUAAGAAGUCUUGUAGAGGGGGUAGAUUCCAGGUGUAGCCGGUGAAAUGCGUAGAGAUCUGGAGGAAUACCGGUGGCCGAAAGGCGGCCCCCUGGACAAAGACUGACGCCUCAGGCACGAAAGCCGUGGGGAGCCAAACAGGAUUAGAUACCCUGGUAGUCCAACGCCGUAAACGAAUGUCUACUCCGGAGUUUGGUGUCUUGAACACUGGGCUCUCAAGCUAACGCAAUUAAGUAGACCGCCUGGGGAGUACGGCCGCAAGGUUAAAACUCAAAUGAAUUGACGGGGGCCCGCACAAGCGGUGGAGCAUGUGGUUUAAUUCGAUGCAACGCGAAGAACCUUACCUACUCUUGACAUCCACGGAAUUCGCUAGAGAUAGCUUAGUGCCUUCGGGAACUGUGAGACAGGUGCUGCAUGGCUGUCGUCAGCUCGUGUUGUGAAAUGUUGGGUUAAGUCCCGCAACGAGCGCAACCCCUAUCCUUAUUUGCCAGCACGUAAUGGUGGGAACUCUAGGGAGACUGCCGGUGAUAAACCGGAGGAAGGUGGGGACGACGUCAAGUCAUCAUGGCCCUUACGAGUAGGGCUACACACGUGUAACGGAUCGGNGAGUACAGAGGGUUGCAAAGCCGCGAGGUGGAGCUAAUCUCACAAAGCUCGUCGUAGUCCCGGAUUGGAGUCUGCAACUCGACUCCAUGAAGUCGGAAUCGCUAGUAAUCGUGGAUCAGAUGCCAC